This is a long non-coding RNA of Nanorana parkeri, 170 nucleotides long. RefSeq lists it as uncharacterized. Lineage: Eukaryota; Metazoa; Chordata; Amphibia; Anura; Dicroglossidae. The transcript has 3 exons. The record is from RefSeq and is a predicted model, not a curated record.
UUUAUCGUCAUCAUCCUCCUGGUCACCUUCACACGUCAGGGAGUGGACCAGACAGAGCACAGCAUGGAGAUGAAGCUGAGGAACCUGAGUCUAGGGAUGCACUCCAGAGUAGAGGGACUGCACAAGCAUGAUUGCUUGAUGAUGGAGAAACUGAAAGCCAUGGAAGCCUU